Molecule: long non-coding RNA, 932 nt
Organism: Oryzias latipes (Japanese medaka)
Lineage: Eukaryota; Metazoa; Chordata; Actinopteri; Beloniformes; Adrianichthyidae
Source: RefSeq, a predicted model, not a curated record
AAAAAACGGGAAAAGUGGGGUUGUUCAAUUUACAAAUAGUAAACAUGUUUGUUUAAUAUGAACAAAUUAUGUUUACCUUCGAAACAUAAUAUAAUCUUGAAAAUCACACAUAAUUUCUUGCUGUGUUACUUUUAUAUAUUUAAAUCAUGUUGACAAAACAUGAAAUAGUUAUGCUUGAUCCUUUGCCCCUUAAUUUUGGAUAAGUAAACCCCAUCGGUGAAGAAGAAUUCCAGGAGGAGAAACUUUGCAGUCAGCCAUUUUAGAGAAGCUACAAGCACCUGCUCUGGCUGGAGGAACUUAAAAAAGAGCUCAUCACACAACACUUCCAACUGCUCCUCCCUGAUCAUGCUGGGCUCCAUGCUCCAGUCUUCACUGAGUUAGACUGCUGAACUUCUCGCCAAUAUAAGCAAGUUCAGGGGUUUGUUCAAAGUACAGUUGUGUAAUCUAGACGCUUUAACUAAACUUCAAAUGUGAACUGUGCACACAAAUAUCUUCUGUGUUCUUCAGAAUGAAGACCAUGCAGCAAUCCAGGAGGCAAUCGAGGACACCACGGUGGGAACUUCCCUCCUAAUGGAAACUGGCAGUGGUGAGGAAGAGGACAUUCUCGUGGUCCACAUCUCCCAGGCUGUGGUGGUCGACCCACCAAGUGUCUGAGUGGCAGUUGCCAAGGCUUUUUUGGCCUUAUUUACAGCACAAAUCUGAUAACCAUCCUCAUCUCAGAAACACCUUGUCAUGGGGCCCGUGACUUUGCUCCUGCUAUGAUCUCCUGGAGGCCCUUCCCUUCUUGAGCUCUCCCGCUGGUCACAGGUGCUCUGUAUUAUGUUGAUUGGUUUGUCUAUUUAUGCAGUGUCUGAUCUUGUUUCUGUGUCGGAGCGUCUUCGUUCUACGCUCUGGUGUUAUGGUUCUCUGGCAUUAAAGCCCCUUCGAGUGAA